UCGAUCCUUUAGACCUUC
RNAcentral lists this small nuclear RNA (18 nucleotides) under Arabidopsis thaliana (thale cress). RNAcentral describes it as "snRNA_15606". Lineage: Eukaryota; Viridiplantae; Streptophyta; Magnoliopsida; Brassicales; Brassicaceae. The record is from RNAcentral.